This 490-nucleotide ribosomal RNA is filed under the name uncultured bacterium. Its description in RNAcentral is "partial 16S ribosomal RNA". It matches the Rfam family "Bacterial small subunit ribosomal RNA", at positions 30 to 507 of the family's 1533-position model. The record is from RNAcentral.
AUUGAACGCUGGCGGCAGGCCUAACACAUGCAAGUCGAACGGUAACAGGAAGACGCUUGCUUCUUUGCUGACGAGUGGCGGACGGGUGAGUAAUGUCUGGGAAACUGCCUGAUGGAGGGGGAUAACUACUGGAAACGGUAGCUAAUACCGCAUAACGUCGCAAGACCAAAAAGGGGGACCUUCGGGCCUCUUGCCAUCGGAUGUGCCCAGAUGGGAUUAGCUAGUAGGUGGGGUAACGGCUCACCUAGGCGACGAUCCCUAGCUGGUCUGAGAGGAUGACCAGCCACACUGGAACUGAGACACGGUCCAGGCUCCUACGGGAGGCAGCAGUGGGGAAUAUUGCACAAUGGGCGCAAGCCUGAUGCAGCCAUGCCGCGUGUAUGAAGAAGGCCUUCGGGUUGUAAAGUACUUUCAGCGGGGAGGAAGGGAGUAAAGUUAAUACCUUUGCUCAUUGACGUUACCCGCAGAAGAAGCACCGGCUAACUCCGUG